Erinaceus europaeus (western European hedgehog) is the source of this 252-nucleotide long non-coding RNA. RefSeq lists it as uncharacterized. The record is from RefSeq and is a predicted model, not a curated record. Lineage: Eukaryota; Metazoa; Chordata; Mammalia; Eulipotyphla; Erinaceidae. The transcript is spliced from 3 exons.
AGGUAAAAGAUAACCACAGUACUUAGUGAAAUUGCCAUAACUGGGAUGAGGCUUAGACUAGCUGUGGUGUACUGCAGAAGCUUGUCAAGGACAGGACUCCAAAGAGGAACUGAAAUGGGAGCGAGCUGGAAGAGUCAGAGAGAUACCUGCAACAUUGCUCCACCAUUUAUGAAUCGUCUCCCAUCUCCCACCCCCUAUGCAGGUGAGGGCCAGGGGUUGAACCAGGGUUUCUUCCAACAACAACAACAAAAA